GGGGACCUUCGGGGCCCUUUAACCACAGGUCCCAUCUGGGACCGACAGAGCAAACGGAAGAAGCUA
Loktanella sp. S4079 is the source of this 66-nucleotide regulatory RNA element. It matches the Rfam family "L2-Alphaproteobacteria ribosomal protein leader". The record is from Rfam. NCBI's taxonomy places the organism in Bacteria, Pseudomonadati, Pseudomonadota, Alphaproteobacteria, Rhodobacterales, Roseobacteraceae.